RNAcentral lists this long non-coding RNA (430 nucleotides) under Brassica napus (rape). Its description in RNAcentral is "long non-coding RNA (BNAP_LNC019614)". The record is from RNAcentral. Lineage: Eukaryota; Viridiplantae; Streptophyta; Magnoliopsida; Brassicales; Brassicaceae.
UGCGGGGAGACGCACCAGUCAGGUCAUUGGACCUUGAGACAAGCGUAUCAUGGCCCUAAAUGAAGGUUAAGGGCAUCAGUCAGCUGAGACUUAACCAGGAUAGGAUGGAAACAAGGUUAAAGGAGUUGAGUGAGUGUUUAGGCAGCUGGACGAGUGUUGGUUUGAGUUCAAUCAGCUCGGUUCAGCUGGUAUUCAGUUCACUAAGAUCUAUUCAGCUCACGGGAGCUGGUAGACUAGCUCACUCAGCUGGGAACAGCUGGAGAUCAGCUCAAUCCGGUGAACGGUGCAUUUUGGUUCGGAUCAGUGUGGACGAGUCUGGGACGGUUACUGGGCGAGCCGAUGGUCCGGGUACGGGACGGUUCGACCAAAUUGGUCUUAGGCUUGGGACAGGGAGUGGACAAGUUCCCAGAGUGUGAGCUGAGGCUCAGUG